GGAUAACUCCGGGAAACCGGGGCUAAUACCGGAUGGUUGUUUGAACCGCAUGGUUCAGACAUAAAAGGUGGCUUCGGCUACCACUUACAGAUGGACCCGCGGCGCAUUAGCUAGUUGGUGAGGUAACGGCUCACCAAGGCAACGAUGCGUAGCCGACCUGAGAGGGUGAUCGGCCACACUGGGACUGAGACACGGCCCAGACUCCUACGGGAGGCAGCAGUAGGGAAUCUUCCGCAAUGGACGAAAGUCUGACGGAGCAACGCCGCGUGAGUGAUGAAGGUUUUCGGAUCGUAAAGCUCUGUUGUUAGGGAAGAACAAGUGCCGUUCAAAUAGGGCGGCACCUUGACGGUACCUAACCAGAAAGCCACGGCUAACUACGUGCCAGCAGCCGCGGUAAUACGUAGGUGGCAAGCGUUGUCCGGAAUUAUUGGGCGUAAAGGGCUCGCAGGCGGUUUCUUAAGUCUGAUGUGAAAGCCCCCGGCUCAACCGGGGAGGGUCAUUGGAAACUGGGGAACUUGAGUGCAGAAGAGGAGAGUGGAAUUCCACGUGUAGCGGUGAAAUGCGUAGAGAUGUGGAGGAACACCAGUGGCGAAGGCGACUCUCUGGUCUGUAACUGACGCUGAGGAGCGAAAUACUGCGUGGGAGAGGCGAACAGGAUUAGAUACCCUGGUAGUCCACGCUCGUAAACGAUGAGUGCUAAGUGUUAGGGGGUUUCCGCCCCUUAGUGCUGCAGCUAACGCAUUAAGCACUCCGCCUGGGGAGUACGGUCGCAAGACUGAAACUCAAAGGAAUUGACGGGGGCCCGCACAAGCGGUGGAGCAUGUGGUUUAAUUCGAAGCAACGCGAAGAACCUUACCAGGUCUUGACAUCCUCUGACAAUCCUAGAGAUAGGACGUCCCCUUCGGGGGCAGAGUGACAGGUGGUGCAUGGUUGUCGUCAGCUCGUGUCGUGAGAUGUUGGGUUAAGUCCCGCAACGAGCGCAACCCUUGAUCUUAGUUGCCAGCAUUCAGUUGGGCACUCUAAGGUGACUGCCGGUGACAAACCGGAGGAAGGUGGGGAUGACGUCAAAUCAUCAUGCCCCUUAUGACCUGGGCUACACACGUGCUACAAUGGGCAGAACAAAGGGCAGCGAAACCGCGAGGUUAAGCCAAUCCCACAAAUCUGUUCUCAGUUCG
This 1175-nucleotide ribosomal RNA is filed under the name Bacillus sp. DM8-2. RNAcentral's name for it is "bacterial SSU rRNA". It matches the Rfam family "Bacterial small subunit ribosomal RNA", at positions 141 to 1295 of the family's 1533-position model. Lineage: Bacteria; Bacillati; Bacillota; Bacilli; Caryophanales; Bacillaceae. The record is from RNAcentral.